UACGUAGGGUGCGAGCGUUGUCCGGAAUUAUUGGGCGUAAAGAGCGUGUAGGCGGUUCGGUAAGUCUGCCGUGAAAACCUGGGGCUCAACCCCGGCGUGCGGUGGAUACUGCCGGGCUAGAGGGUGGUAGAGGCGAGUGGAAUUCCCGGUGUAGCGGUGAAAUGCGCAGAUAUCGGGAGGAACACCAGUAGCGAAGGCGGCUCGCUGGGCCAUUCCUGACGCUGAGACGCGAAAGCUAGGGGAGCGAACGAGG
RNAcentral lists this ribosomal RNA (253 nucleotides) under uncultured bacterium. Its description in RNAcentral is "partial 16S ribosomal RNA". It matches the Rfam family "Bacterial small subunit ribosomal RNA", at positions 524 to 777 of the family's 1533-position model. The record is from RNAcentral.